Molecule: unclassified non-coding RNA, 371 nt
Filed under: Hevea brasiliensis (rubber tree)
Lineage: Eukaryota; Viridiplantae; Streptophyta; Magnoliopsida; Malpighiales; Euphorbiaceae
Source: RNAcentral
UCUCUAGAUCUACCAUAUUGUAGGUGUUUUGUCUAGCCUGGAUGGUUGCUUGUAGGAUCUGUUCUUCAUCCGCGUCGUGCGUCAUGCAUCUCUGGCUCUGGGAGAGUUCGUUUUAUGGGGUGCGGUACCUCGAGAGUCUGUCGCCGGCUUAUUGCACCACCCUUGGCUUCAUUUGCCACCUCAGUUCUACCUCACCACUCUCUGUGAGCUGUUAAUCUAUCUUGCAACACAUUUCGCCUUCCAUGAUCUCAGAUCUUCAUGAUUUUAACUGACCUUGCUUUGAAAGUUCUCUGGGUGUUCUCUGAGUUGGAGGUUUUUGGCUUAGUUUGGGAAGCUCUAAGUUCAUCGGAGACUAUCUGGGUUACUCCUUG